GAGUUUGAUCCUGGCUCAGAUUGAACGCUGGCGGCAGGCCUAACACAUGCAAGUCGAGCGGAAACGAGUUAACUGAACCUUCGGGGAACGUUAACGGCGUCGAGCGGCGGACGGGUGAGUAAUGCCUGGGAAAUUGCCCUGAUGUGGGGGAUAACCAUUGGAAACGAUGGCUAAUACCGCAUAAUAGCUUCGGCUCAAAGAGGGGGACCUUCGGGCCUCUCGCGUCAGGAUAUGCCCAGGUGGGAUUAGCUAGUUGGUGAGGUAAUGGCUCACCAAGGCGACGAUCCCUAGCUGGUCUGAGAGGAUGAUCAGCCACACUGGAACUGAGACACGGUCCAGACUCCUACGGGAGGCAGCAGUGGGGAAUAUUGCACAAUGGGCGCAAGCCUGAUGCAGCCAUGCCGCGUGUAUGAAGAAGGCCUUCGGGUUGUAAAGUACUUUCAGCAGUGAGGAAGGUGGGUAUGUUAAUAGCAUACUCGUUUGACGUUAGCUGCAGAAGAAGCACCGGCUAACUCCGUGCCAGCAGCCGCGGUAAUACGGAGGGUGCGAGCGUUAAUCGGAAUUACUGGGCGUAAAGCGCAUGCAGGUGGUUUGUUAAGUCAGAUGUGAAAGCCCGGGGCUCAACCUCGGAAUUGCAUUUGAAACUGGCAAACUAGAGUACUGUAGAGGGGGGUAGAAUUUCAGGUGUAGCGGUGAAAUGCGUAGAGAUCUGAAGGAAUACCGGUGGCGAAGGCGGCCCCCUGGACAGAUACUGACACUCAGAUGCGAAAGCGUGGGGAGCAAACAGGAUUAGAUACCCUGGUAGUCCACGCCGUAAACGAUGUCUACUUGGAGGUUGGGGCCUUGAGCCGUGGCUUUCGGAGCUAACGCGUUAAGUAGACCCCCUGGGGGAGGACGGGCCCCAAAGAAUAAAAA
RNAcentral lists this ribosomal RNA (915 nucleotides) under uncultured bacterium. RNAcentral's name for it is "bacterial SSU rRNA". It matches the Rfam family "Bacterial small subunit ribosomal RNA", at positions 9 to 873 of the family's 1533-position model. The record is from RNAcentral.